AAGUCGUAACAAGGUUUCCGUAGGUGAACCUGCGGAAGGAUCAUUACAAAUCGUGUGGGAUUGGGACUAUCUUUCUGAGGUAGUACCAAGCACCCACUAUAUGUUCGGGGCAGCAAUGCUUCGUGACAUUUACGCUUGUAUGUUUGACAAAGUUAGAUGUGAUUUAAUAAAGACAACUUUUAACAAUGGAUCUCUUGGCUCUU
Molecule: unclassified non-coding RNA, 203 nt
Filed under: fungal sp.
Lineage: Eukaryota; Fungi
Also listed under: 1 other name
Description: partial internal transcribed spacer region
Rfam family: Eukaryotic small subunit ribosomal RNA (bases 1-46)
Source: RNAcentral